Jaculus jaculus (lesser Egyptian jerboa) is the source of this 107-nucleotide small nuclear RNA. Lineage: Eukaryota; Metazoa; Chordata; Mammalia; Rodentia; Dipodidae. The record is from Ensembl.
GUGCUCACUUCAGUAGCACAUAUAUUAAAGCUGAAGCGAUACAGAGAAGAUUAGCAUGGCCCCUGUGCAAGGAUGACACACAAAUUUGUGAAGCAUUUCAUAUCUUG